RNAcentral lists this ribosomal RNA (441 nucleotides) under uncultured bacterium. Its description in RNAcentral is "partial 16S ribosomal RNA". It matches the Rfam family "Bacterial small subunit ribosomal RNA", at positions 338 to 795 of the family's 1533-position model. The record is from RNAcentral.
CCUACGGGAGGCAGCAGUGGGGAAUAUUGCACAAUGGGCGAAAGCCUGAUGCAGCAACGCCGCGUGAGCGAUGAAGGCCUUCGGGUCGUAAAGCUCUGUCCUCAAGGAAGAUAAUGACGGUACUUGAGGAGGAAGCCCCGGCUAACUACGUGCCAGCAGCCGCGGUAAUACGUAGGGGGCUGGCGUUAUCCGGAUUUAUUGGGUUUAAAGGGUGCGUAGGCUGUGAGGUAAGUCAGCGGUGAAAUGCCCCCGCCCAACGGGGUGAAGUGCCAUUGAUACUGCCUUGCUGGAAUGCGGAUGCCGUGGGAGGAAUGUGUGGUGUAGCGGUGAAAUGCAUAGAUAUCACACAGAACACCGAUUGCGAAGGCAUCUCACGAAUCCGCGAUUGACGCUGAUGCACGAAAGCGUGGGUAUCAAACAGGAUUAGAUACCCUUGUAGUC